Molecule: unclassified non-coding RNA, 303 nt
Filed under: plant metagenome
Description: partial contains 5.8S ribosomal RNA, internal transcribed spacer 2, and large subunit ribosomal RNA
Rfam family: 5.8S ribosomal RNA (bases 1-103)
Source: RNAcentral
GAAAUGCGAUAAGUAAUGUGAAUUGCAGAAUUCAGUGAAUCAUCGAAUCUUUGAACGCACAUUGCGCCCCAGUAUUCUGGCGGGCAUGCCUGUUCGAGCGUCAUUUCAACCAUCAAGCCCCCGGCUUGUGUUGGGGACCUGCGGCUGCCCGCAGGCCCUGAAAAACAGUGGCGGGCUCGCUGUCACACCGAGCGUAGUAGCAUACAUUCUCGCUCAGGGCGUGCUGCGGGUUCCGGCCGUUAAACGACCUUCAUAACCCAAGGUUGACCUCGGAUCAGGUAGGAAGACCCGCUGAACUUAAGC